Molecule: non-coding RNA, 27 nt
Filed under: Mus musculus (house mouse)
Lineage: Eukaryota; Metazoa; Chordata; Mammalia; Rodentia; Muridae
Source: RNAcentral
UGGUCUAUCAGGGUCUGUGCUAUGUUG